AGUCAGAGGCGAUGAAGGACGUGCUAAUCUGCGAUAAGCGUCGGUAAGGUGAUAUGAACCGUUAUAACCGGCGAUUUCCGAAUGGGGAAACCCAGUGUGUUUCGACACACUAUCAUUAACUGAAUCCAUAGGUUAAUGAGGCGAACCGGGGGAACUGAAACAUCUAAGUACCCCGAGGAAAAGAAAUCAACCGAGAUUCCCCCAGUAGCGGCGAGCGAACGGGGAGCAGCCCAGAGCCUGAAUCAGUGUGUGUGUUAGUGGAAGCGUCUGGAAAGGCGCGCGAUACAGGGUGACAGCCCCGUACACAAAAAUGCACAUGCUGUGAGCUCGAUGAGUAGGGCGGGACACGUGGUAUCCUGUCUGAAUAUGGGGGGACCAUCCUCCAAGGCUAAAUACUCCUGACUGACCGAUAGUGAACCAGUACCGUGAGGGAAAGGCGAAAAGAACCCCGGCGAGGGGAGUGAAAAAGAACCUGAAACCGUGUACGUACAAGCAGUGGGAGCACGCUUAGGCGUGUGACUGCGUACCUUUUGUAUAAUGGGUCAGCGACUUAUAUUCUGUAGCAAGGUUAACCGAAUAGGGGAGCCGAAGGGAAACCGAGUCUUAACUGGGCGUUAAGUUGCAGGGUAUAGACCCGAAACCCGGUGAUCUAGCCAUGGGCAGGUUGAAGGUUGGGUAACACUAACUGGAGGACCGAACCGACUAAUGUUGAAAAAUUAGCGGAUGACUUGUGGCUGGGGGUGAAAGGCCAAUCAAACCGGGAGAUAGCUGGUUCUCCCCGAAAGCUAUUUAGGUAGCGCCUCGUGAAUUCAUCUCCGGGGGUAGAGCACUGUUUCGGCAAGGGGGUCAUCCCGACUUACCAACCCGAUGCAAACUGCGAAUACCGGAGAAUGUUAUCACGGGAGACACACGGCGGGUGCUAACGUCCGUCGUGAAGAGGGAAACAACCCAGACCGCCAGCUAAGGUCCCAAAGUCAUGGUUAAGUGGGAAACGAUGUGGGAAGGCCCAGACAGCCAGGAUGUUGGCUUAGAAGCAGCCAUCAUUUAAAGAAAGCGUAAUAGCUCACUGGUCGAGUCGGCCUGCGCGGAAGAUGUAACGGGGCUAAACCAUGCACCGAAGCUGCGGCAGCGACGCUGAUGCGUUGUUGGGUAGGGGAGCGUUCUGUAAGCCUGCGAAGGUGUGCUGUGAGGCAUGCUGGAGGUAUCAGAAGUGCGAAUGCUGACAUAAGUAACGAUAAAGCGGGUGAAAAGCCCGCUCGCCGGAAGACCAAGGGUUCCUGUCCAACGUUAAUCGGGGCAGGGUGAGUCGACCCCUAAGGCGAGGCCGAAAGGCGUAGUCGAUGGGAAACAGGUUAAUAUUCCUGUACUUGGUGUUACUGCGAAGGGGGGACGGAGAAGGCUAUGUUGGCCGGGCGACGGUUGUCCCGGUUUAAGCGUGUAGGCUGGUUUUCCAGGCAAAUCCGGAAAAUCAAGGCUGAGGCGUGAUGACGAGGCACUACGGUGCUGAAGCAACAAAUGCCCUGCUUCCAGGAAAAGCCUCUAAGCAUCAGGUAACAUCAAAUCGUACCCCAAACCGACACAGGUGGUCAGGUAGAGAAUACCAAGGCGCUUGAGAGAACUCGGGUGAAGGAACUAGGCAAAAUGGUGCCGUAACUUCGGGAGAAGGCACGCUGAUAUGUAGGUGAAGUCCCUCGCGGAUGGAGCUGAAAUCAGUCGAAGAUACCAGCUGGCUGCAACUGUUUAUUAAAAACACAGCACUGUGCAAACACGAAAGUGGACGUAUACGGUGUGACGCCUGCCCGGUGCCGGAAGGUUAAUUGAUGGGGUUAGCGCAAGCGAAGCUCUUGAUCGAAGCCCCGGUAAACGGCGGCCGUAACUAUAACGGUCCUAAGGUAGCGAAAUUCCUUGUCGGGUAAGUUCCGACCUGCACGAAUGGCGUAAUGAUGGCCAGGCUGUCUCCACCCGAGACUCAGUGAAAUUGAACUCGCUGUGAAGAUGCAGUGUACCCGCGGCAAGACGGAAAGACCCCGUGAACCUUUACUAUAGCUUGACACUGAACAUUGAGCCUUGAUGUGUAGGAUAGGUGGGAGGCUUAGAAGUGUGGACGCCAGUCUGCAUGGAGCCGACCUUGAAAUACCACCCUUUAAUGUUUGAUGUUCUAACGUUGACCCGUAAUCCGGGUUGCGGACAGUGUCUGGUGGGUAGUUUGACUGGGGCGGUCUCCUCCUAAAGAGUAACGGAGGAGCACGAAGGUUGGCUAAUCCUGGUCGGACAUCAGGAGGUUAGUGCAAUGGCAUAAGCCAGCUUGACUGCGAGCGUGACGGCGCGAGCAGGUGCGAAAGCAGGUCAUAGUGAUCCGGUGGUUCUGAAUGGAAGGGCCAUCGCUCAACGGAUAAAAGGUACUCCGGGGAUAACAGGCUGAUACCGCCCAAGAGUUCAUAUCGACGGCGGUGUUUGGCACCUCGAUGUCGGCUCAUCACAUCCUGGGGCUGAAGUAGGUCCCAAGGGUAUGGCUGUUCGCCAUUUAAAGUGGUACGCGAGCUGGGUUUAGAACGUCGUGAGACAGUUCGGUCCCUAUCUGCCGUGGGCGCUGGAGAACUGAGUGGGGCUGCUCCUAGUACGAGAGGACCGGAGUGGACGCAUCACUGGUGUUCGGGUUGUCAUGCCAAUGGCACUGCCCGGUAGCUAAAUGCGGAAGAGAUAAGUGCUGAAAGCAUCUAAGCACGAAACUUGCCCCGAGAUGAGUUCUCCCUGACCCUUUAAGGGUCCUGAAGGAACGUUGAAGACGACGACGUUGAUAGGCCGGGUGUGUAAGCGCAGCGAUGCGUUGAGCUAACCGGUACUAAUGAACCGUGAGGCUUAACCUU
This 2867-nucleotide ribosomal RNA is filed under the name Escherichia coli 3-073-06_S3_C1. RNAcentral describes it as "bacterial LSU rRNA". It matches the Rfam family "Bacterial large subunit ribosomal RNA". Lineage: Bacteria; Pseudomonadati; Pseudomonadota; Gammaproteobacteria; Enterobacterales; Enterobacteriaceae. The record is from RNAcentral.